RNAcentral lists this ribosomal RNA (256 nucleotides) under uncultured bacterium. RNAcentral's name for it is "partial 16S ribosomal RNA". It matches the Rfam family "Bacterial small subunit ribosomal RNA", at positions 524 to 776 of the family's 1533-position model. The record is from RNAcentral.
UACGAAGGGUGCAAGCGUUACUCGGAAUUACUGGGCGUAAAGCGUGCGUAGGUGGUGAGUUAAGUCUGUCGUGAAAGCCCCGGGCUCAACCUGGGAAUGGCGAUGGAUACUGGCUCGCUAGAGUGCGGUAGAGGAGAGUGGAAAUUCCCGGUGUAGCAGUGAAAUGCGUAGAGAUCGGGAGGAACAUCAGUUGCGGAAGGCGGCUCUCUGGAUCAGCACUGACACUGGAGGCACGAAAGCGUGGGGAGCAAACAGG